This 336-nucleotide ribosomal RNA is filed under the name uncultured bacterium. RNAcentral's name for it is "bacterial SSU rRNA". It matches the Rfam family "Bacterial small subunit ribosomal RNA", at positions 8 to 333 of the family's 1533-position model. The record is from RNAcentral.
AGAGUUUGAUCAUGGCUCAGGAUAAACGCUGGCGGCGCACAUAAGACAUGCAAGUCGAACGGACUUAAUCGAAAUAUUUAUAUUUUGAAGCGGUUAGUGGCGGACUGGUGAGUAACGCGUAAGGAACCUGCCUAUUAGAGGGGAAUAACAGUGAGAAAUCAUUGCUAAUACCGCAUAUGCCAUAGAUAUCACAUGAUAACAGUGGGAAAGGAGCAAUCCGCUAAUAGAUGGCCUUGCGUCUGAUUAGAUAGUUGGUGGGGUAACGGCCUACCAAGUCGACGAUCAGUAGCCGGACUGAGAGGUUGAACGGCCACAUUGGGACUGAGAUACGGCCCA